AUUGAACGCUGGCGGCAUGCUUUACACAUGCAAGUCGAACGGUAACAGGCCUUCGGGUGCUGACGAGUGGCGAACGGGUGAGUAAUGCAUCGGAACGUGCCCAGAGGUGGGGGAUAACGCAGCGAAAGCUGUGCUAAUACCGCAUGUGAUCUGAGGAUGAAAGCGGGGGACCAGGCAGCAAUGUUUGGCCUCGCGCCUUUGGAGCGGCCGAUGUCAGAUUAGGUAGUUGGUGGGGUAAAGGCCUACCAAGCCGACGAUCUGUAGCUGGUCUGAGAGGACGACCAGCCACACUGGGACUGAGACACGGCCCAGACUCCUACGGGAGGCAGCAGUGGGGAAUUUUGGACAAUGGGCGCAAGCCUGAUCCAGCAAUGCCGCGUGCGGGAAGAAGGCCUUCGGGUUGUAAACCGCUUUUGUACGGAACGAAAAGGCUCUGGCUAAUACCUGGAGCUGAUGACGGUACCGUAAGAAUAAGCACCGGCUAACUACGUG
RNAcentral lists this ribosomal RNA (492 nucleotides) under uncultured bacterium. RNAcentral describes it as "partial 16S ribosomal RNA". It matches the Rfam family "Bacterial small subunit ribosomal RNA", at positions 30 to 507 of the family's 1533-position model. The record is from RNAcentral.